UUCUCCUCAACCCGGAAUCUGCCGGUGCAUCGGUGAACUGCCUCGUCUGCAAUUUCUCCACCUCACCCUCUGUGGUAAAUGAAAACUUUAGGACCUGUGUUGGUCAGAGGGAAUGUAGUCCACUCGAAUCAGUGAAUGAAGUUGUAUCACUAGAUGAAACACUAAUACGUCGAAGUCAAGCCAAAAACAUGGAGGGGUCCUGCACUGCUCAUCGAUCAUUGGACAUAUUGAAAGGGAUAAACCUCGAGAAGCCGACCUGUCAUGAAAGCCAUCUGUCGCCCAGUUGCGAUCUUCAGAAUACAUGGAAGGAUCAGAA
Macrobrachium nipponense is the source of this 316-nucleotide long non-coding RNA. RefSeq lists it as uncharacterized. The record is from RefSeq and is a predicted model, not a curated record. The transcript is spliced from 3 exons. Lineage: Eukaryota; Metazoa; Arthropoda; Malacostraca; Decapoda; Palaemonidae.